UUCUGAAUCUUAAACCACCAUGAGUUCUAGACUUCUAGUUAUUAAAGUUGUGGUUCUUAAAUUCUUCUACUCGGUGUCAUAUCAUAUCUCAUAUAACUAACAGAGCUUUGUGGGUUUUGUUGUCUGACAGUAGAGAAGAUGGGGAGGGGACCUUGUUAUGGUAAAGAUGGAGUAAAUAAAGCACCUUGAACUCCUGAAGAAGACCAACUCUUGGUUUAGUACAUUCAAAAACCUGGUCUUGGUUGCUGGCGUAGCCUCCCUAAGAACACAGUGGCUUUGGCGUGGAUUUUGAAAGGCAAAUUGCCUUUCUUGAUGGCAGGUGCACUGUUGGAAGGGGUAGUGAACGCAAUAACGACACCAAUUGAGAGGGAAAAGGUGUUGAUAUCUACUCACUGGCCACUCUUCUACUGUCUGGGCACUUGCUUUUGAUGCUGAAGGAAACAGAAUGAUUACCUGUAGAGAUGAUCUUGCACUAAAAAUAUGGGAAACAGAUGUUGAAAGGAUGUGUAAGCGGAUGUGUAAUCGGGUGAUGAUUUUGCAGAGAUGAUCUUGAAGGAUGUGUAAUCGGAUGUGUAAUCGGGUGAUGAUUUUGCAGAGAUGAUCUUGCACUAAAAAUAUGGGAAACAGAUGUUGAAAGGAUGUGUAAUCGGGUGAUGAGCUUGCGUCUUGGUGAGAAACAUGUUCUUUAUGUAUACUGGAUAUUCUACUCCUCGUUUUACUACAGCAGAUUGAAAUGUUCCAUGGACGAGAACAGUACUACCUUAGAGGAUAAUGUAAGUAAUUCUCAUCUUAGUUAAUGAUCAAUUGCAGGAUGCCUGUGUUAGAAA
Populus nigra (black poplar) is the source of this 827-nucleotide long non-coding RNA. RefSeq lists it as uncharacterized. The transcript is spliced from 4 exons. Lineage: Eukaryota; Viridiplantae; Streptophyta; Magnoliopsida; Malpighiales; Salicaceae. The record is from RefSeq and is a predicted model, not a curated record.